GAGUUUGAUCGUGGCUCAGAACGAACGCUGGCGGCAUGCCUAACACAUGCAAGUCGAACGGGAUCCUAGCUUGCUAGGUGAGAGUGGCGGACGGGUGAGUAACACGUGGGAACCUGCCUUUUGGUUCGGGAUAACCGCGGGAAACUGCGGCUAAUACCGAAUGCCCUCGUGAGAGGAAAGAUUUAUCGCCAGAAGAGGGGCCCGCGUCCGAUUAGGUAGUUGGUGGGGUAAAGGCCUACCAAGCCGACGAUCGGUAGCUGGUCUGAGAGGAUGAUCAGCCACACUGGGACUGAGAUACGGCCCAGACUCCUACGGGAGGCAGCAGUGGGGAAUAUUGGACAAUGGGGGCAACCCUGAUCCAGCAAUGCCGCGUGAGUGAUGAAGGCCUUAGGGUUGUAAAGCUCUUUUGCCAGGGAAGAUGAUGACUGUACCUGGAGAAUAAGCCCCGGCUAACUUCGUGCCAGCCGCCGCGGUAAU
Molecule: ribosomal RNA, 477 nt
Filed under: uncultured Alphaproteobacteria bacterium
Lineage: Bacteria; Pseudomonadati; Pseudomonadota; Alphaproteobacteria
Description: bacterial SSU rRNA
Rfam family: Bacterial small subunit ribosomal RNA
Source: RNAcentral